RNAcentral lists this ribosomal RNA (1079 nucleotides) under Pseudonocardia sp. OAct723. RNAcentral describes it as "bacterial SSU rRNA". It matches the Rfam family "Bacterial small subunit ribosomal RNA", at positions 28 to 1126 of the family's 1533-position model. Lineage: Bacteria; Bacillati; Actinomycetota; Actinomycetes; Pseudonocardiales; Pseudonocardiaceae. The record is from RNAcentral.
GACGAACGCUGGCGGCGUGCUUAACACAUGCAAGUCGAGCGGUAAGGCCUCUUCGGGGGUACACGAGCGGCGAACGGGUGAGUAACACGUGGGUGACCUGCCCUCAGCUCUGGGAUAAGCCUGGGAAACUGGGUCUAAUACCGGAUAUGACCUCUCAUCGCAUGGUGGGUGGUGGAAAGUUUUUCGGCUGGGGAUGGGCCCGCGGCCUAUCAGCUUGUUGGUGGGGUGAUGGCCUACCAAGGCGACGACGGGUAGCCGGCCUGAGAGGGCGACCGGCCACACUGGGACUGAGAUACGGCCCAGACUCCUACGGGAGGCAGCAGUGGGGAAUAUUGCGCAAUGGGCGAAAGCCUGACGCAGCGACGCCGCGUGGGGGAUGACGGCCUUCGGGUUGUAAACCUCUUUCGACCGGGACGAAGGGUGACUGACGGUACCGGUAGAAGAAGCACCGGCCAACUACGUGCCAGCAGCCGCGGUAAUACGUAGGGUGCGAGCGUUGUCCGGAAUUAUUGGGCGUAAAGAGCUCGUAGGCGGUGUGUCACGUCGGUCGUGAAAACUUGGGGCUCAACCCUGAGCGUGCGGUCGAUACGGGCAUCACUUGAGUUCGGCAGGGGAGACUGGAAUUCCUGGUGUAGCGGUGAAAUGCGCAGAUAUCAGGAGGAACACCGGUGGCGAAGGCGGGUCUCUGGGCCGAUACUGACGCUGAGGAGCGAAAGCGUGGGGAGCGAACAGGAUUAGAUACCCUGGUAGUCCACGCCGUAAACGGUGGGCACUAGGUGUGGGGGCCAUUCCACGGUCUCUGUGCCGCAGCUAACGCAUUAAGUGCCCCGCCUGGGGAGUACGGCCGCAAGGCUAAAACUCAAAGGAAUUGACGGGGGCCCGCACAAGCGGCGGAGCAUGUGGAUUAAUUCGAUGCAACGCGAAGAAUCUUACCUGGGUUUGACAUGCACUAGACGCGUCUAGAGAAUAGCGUCCUUGUGCUGAUGUGCAGUGAUGCAUUGUCUGUCGUCAGCUCGUGUCAUGAGAUGUUGGUAGUCACUGCACGAGCGCCCAACCCUUCGAGUUCCAUGUUUGCAACG